UCUAGAAGCUUCGACAAUGGACGAAAGUCUGAUCGAGCGACGCCGCGUGCAGGACGAAGGUUUUCGGAUCGUAAACUGCUUUCGACAGGGAAAAACGGUAUGUAGGCUAAUACCCUAUGUAUUUGAUGGUACCGGGAGAAGAAGCCCUGGCUAACUCCGUG
RNAcentral lists this ribosomal RNA (161 nucleotides) under uncultured Omnitrophica bacterium. Its description in RNAcentral is "partial 16S ribosomal RNA". It matches the Rfam family "Bacterial small subunit ribosomal RNA", at positions 355 to 507 of the family's 1533-position model. Lineage: Bacteria; Pseudomonadati; Candidatus Omnitrophota. The record is from RNAcentral.